GGGAAUAUACUACAACAGUCACACCACCCGAGCGCCAGCAGCAACAAACAAAACAAAGAAGCAAUCUUAGUCUACCAUGACUUACCUGUAAUUAGGUGAAGUUGGACUGUAAGGACUGGAAGGAGACAACCUUGGACUACUUGGUGAGUAUGCCAGAGACGGACUGUACUUGGCUGACUGCGGGUUGUAACUUGGAGAGGUAGGGCUAUAGCUUGGUGAUGUGGGACUGUAACUUGGUGAGGUUGGACUGUACCCAGGAGAUGUGGGGCUAUAAGCAGGUGAAGUAGGGCUAUAUGAAGGAGAUGUGGGGCUAUAGGACGGUGAAGUAGGGCUGUACGAAGGAGAUGUCGGGCUGUACGAUGGAGAUGUAGGGCUGUAUGAUGGAGAAGUGGGGCUGUAUGCAGGUGAAGUGGGGCUAUAUGCUGGUGAGGUAGGGCUAUAUACGGGUGAAGUGGGGCUGUAGCUGGGUGAAGUGGGACUAUAGCUGGGGGAUGUGGGACUGUAACUUGGAGAAGUAGGACUGUAACUUGGAGAUGUAGGGCUGUAACUUGGAGAGGUAGGGCUAUAGCUUGGUGAGGUUGGAGAAUAUGAGGGGCUGGUAGGAGAGUAGGCUGGACUUGUCGGACUGUAUCCUGGUGAGCUAGGACUGUAAGUAGGUGAUGUGGGGCUGUAACCAGGAGAGGUGGGACUGUACCCAGGAGAUGUAGGACUGUAACCAGGAGAGGUAGGACUGUAACCAGGUGAUGACGGACUGUAUCCAGGAGAUGAUGGGCUGUAACCAGGGGAUGACGUAGGAGAGAAUGCCAUUCCACCAACAUAAGGUGAGAACUGUGCAUCUGAAAUGGGUGAGAGACGAAGAUUUGGGCUCAGCAAGUAACUUGGAGACAUCAUGCCUUCAUGAUAAGGAGUUCCUG
RNAcentral lists this long non-coding RNA (914 nucleotides) under Gossypium barbadense (sea-island cotton). Its description in RNAcentral is "long non-coding RNA (GBAR_LNC010179)". The record is from RNAcentral. Lineage: Eukaryota; Viridiplantae; Streptophyta; Magnoliopsida; Malvales; Malvaceae.